GACGAACGCUGGCGGCGUGCUUAACACAUGCAAGUCGAGCGGUAAGGCCCUUUCGGGGGUACACGAGCGGCGAACGGGUGAGUAACACGUGGGUGACCUGCCCUCAGCUCUGGGAUAAGCCCGGGAAACUGGGUCUAAUACUGGAUAUGACUCCAUGACGCAUGUUGUGGGGUGGAAAGCCUUGUGCGGCUGAGGAUGGGCCCGCGGCCUAUCAGCUUGUUGGGGGGGUG
Molecule: ribosomal RNA, 230 nt
Filed under: uncultured bacterium
Lineage: Bacteria
Description: partial 16S ribosomal RNA
Rfam family: Bacterial small subunit ribosomal RNA
Source: RNAcentral